RNAcentral lists this ribosomal RNA (537 nucleotides) under uncultured Rhodococcus sp. RNAcentral describes it as "bacterial SSU rRNA". It matches the Rfam family "Bacterial small subunit ribosomal RNA", at positions 523 to 1059 of the family's 1533-position model. The record is from RNAcentral. Lineage: Bacteria; Bacillati; Actinomycetota; Actinomycetes; Mycobacteriales; Nocardiaceae.
AUACGUAGGGUGCGAGCGUUGUCCGGAAUUACUGGGCGUAAAGAGUUCGUAGGCGGUUUGUCGCGUCGUUUGUGAAAACCCGGGGCUCAACUUCGGGCUUGCAGGCGAUACGGGCAGACUUGAGUGUUUCAGGGGAGACUGGAAUUCCUGGUGUAGCGGUGAAAUGCGCAGAUAUCAGGAGGAACACCGGUGGCGAAGGCGGGUCUCUGGGAAACAACUGACGCUGAGGAACGAAAGCGUGGGUAGCAAACAGGAUUAGAUACCCUGGUAGUCCACGCCGUAAACGGUGGGCGCUAGGUGUGGGUUCCUUCCACGGAAUCUGUGCCGUAGCUAACGCAUUAAGCGCCCCGCCUGGGGAGUACGGCCGCAAGGCUAAAACUCAAAGGAAUUGACGGGGCCCGCACAAGCGGUGGAGCAUGUGGUUUAAUUCGAAGCAACGCGCAGAACCUUACCAGGGCUUGACAUCCCUGCGAACCUCUGGGAAACCGAGGGUGCCUUCGGGAACGCAGUGACAGGUGGUGCAUGGCUGUCGUCAGC